Molecule: ribosomal RNA, 483 nt
Filed under: uncultured bacterium
Lineage: Bacteria
Description: bacterial SSU rRNA
Rfam family: Bacterial small subunit ribosomal RNA
Source: RNAcentral
GAUGAACGCUAGCUACAGGCUUAACACAUGCAAGUCGAGGGGAAACGAUAGAGAAAGCUUGCUUUUUCUAGGCGUCGACCGGCGCACGGGUGAGUAACGCGUAUCCAACCUGCCCAUCACUUGGGGAUAACCUUGCGAAAGUAAGACUAAUACCCAAUGACGUCUCUAGAAGACAUCUGAGAGAGAUUAAAGAUUUAUCGGUGAUGGAUGGGGAUGCGUCUGAUUAGCUUGUUGGCGGGGUAACGGCCCACCAAGGCGACGAUCAGUAGGGGUUCUGAGAGGAAGGUCCCCCACAUUGGAACUGAGACACGGUCCAAACUCCUACGGGAGGCAGCAGUGAGGAAUAUUGGUCAAUGGACGAGAGUCUGAACCAGCCAAGUAGCGUGCAGGAUGACGGCCCUAUGGGUUGUAAACUGCUUUAUAAGGGAAUAAAGUGAGUCUCGUGAGACUUUUGCAUGUACCUUAUGAAUAAGGACCGGCUAA